UAAAAAUUUAUUUAUUUUAGGUAGUAACAGAUUUCUUGAAACCUAAAGAAUUUGGCGGUAUUUUAAAUAAUUAGAGGAACCUGUUAAAUAAAUGAUAAUCCACAACAUAUCUUUCCUAAAUUAAGUUUGUAUACCGUUGUUUUCAGAUUAUAUUUUAAGAUUAUGAUCAAUAAUAAUAAAUUUUUAUAAAUCAAAUCAAGGUGCAGCACAUUUAGGUUCUAAUGGGUUACAAUAUAUUUAUAUAAACGAAUAAAUUAUGAAAAUAUUUUUGAAGGUGGAUUUAAAAGUAAUUUAAAAAUAAAAUGUUUAAAUGAAUAAAAAUUUAAAAUAUGC
This 333-nucleotide ribosomal RNA is filed under the name Brachistosternus chilensis. Its description in RNAcentral is "partial 12S small subunit ribosomal RNA". Lineage: Eukaryota; Metazoa; Arthropoda; Arachnida; Scorpiones; Bothriuridae. The record is from RNAcentral.